Bactrocera neohumeralis is the source of this 531-nucleotide long non-coding RNA. RefSeq lists it as uncharacterized. The record is from RefSeq and is a predicted model, not a curated record. The transcript is spliced from 3 exons. NCBI's taxonomy places the organism in Eukaryota, Metazoa, Arthropoda, Insecta, Diptera, Tephritidae.
ACCUGCAUCAUAUACACCACACACGAGGACACCGGACACAAUUAACAAAAGGGACGGACGGACGGCGCCCGGCCUCUUUUGUUUUCUAUCCGUGCGCAUACACCCUACAAUAUCGCGAUCGCCGAUCAACAUACUUAUAUUUGGAACGAUGGGUUGGUGGUUUUACCCAGAACAAUAAUGAAAGUUUUAAUCAGCUGAUAUGGAAAAUAACUCCAAAAAUUAUUCCAGCUGGCUCAAAAAUUGUGGAAAUAGCUGCAAACAUUACAGCCGGGUCUUUAAUGAAGAGGACGCAGAGCGCAUCUCAAUUUCGGACGCAAGAGCGUAAGGGUCGACGCUCGAGUGGAGGAUGGCUCGUAGACAACAACAAUUAAACGUUUUGGAGGCAAACGACGAAGCAGGGGUUCCUCUUAUGGUGCUGGAAUAGAUGACACGAUAUAAUUUUGACCAAAGAUAUCUUGCUCACCGCCAGGCACUUUUUUUGGACGUCUCUCCGCAGAUCAUCUACAGGAGCUAGGGGAUCCAAUAUUUUUU